UGCUGAAGGGAUGGAUGGUGGUGCAGUAAAGGUGUUUGUGUCUUCUGGCCCAAUUGAGCUGAAGAGAGAUGGAUCCCUUCACUUUAUGCCUAGAAGUGCCCAAUUCAAUGUGUGGUCCCUUCUGGGAGCUGCAAUGGGUGUGUGUUCAGUGGUUAUCUUUGUAGCUGGAGUUGUAUCUUUCUGGAAACUGCCAAAAAGUGUGUAUUGAUAAAUAAAAAUCUUGCUUGUAAAAGCUUA
This is a long non-coding RNA of Acipenser ruthenus (sterlet), 237 nucleotides long. RefSeq lists it as uncharacterized. The transcript is spliced from 2 exons. Lineage: Eukaryota; Metazoa; Chordata; Actinopteri; Acipenseriformes; Acipenseridae. The record is from RefSeq and is a predicted model, not a curated record.